This 293-nucleotide ribosomal RNA is filed under the name Phenylobacterium sp. RNAcentral describes it as "partial 16S ribosomal RNA". It matches the Rfam family "Bacterial small subunit ribosomal RNA", at positions 1242 to 1533 of the family's 1533-position model. Lineage: Bacteria; Pseudomonadati; Pseudomonadota; Alphaproteobacteria; Caulobacterales; Caulobacteraceae. The record is from RNAcentral.
AUGGGACGCUAAGGGGCAACCCUUCGCAAAUCUCAAAAAGCCGUCUCAGUUCGGAUUGGGCUCUGCAACUCGAGCCCAUGUAGUUGGAAUCGCUAGUAAACGUGGAUCAGCAUGCCACGGUGAAUACGUUCCCGGGCCUUGUACACACCGCCCGUCACACCAUGGGAGUUGGUUUUACCUGAAGACGGUGCGCUAACCCGCAAGGGAGGCAGCCGGCCACGGUAGGGUCAGCGACUGGGGUGAAGUCGUAACAAGGUAGCCGUAGGGGAACCUGCGGCUGGAUCACCUCCUUU